This is a non-coding RNA of Schizosaccharomyces pombe (fission yeast), 226 nucleotides long. The record is from the annotation of a GenBank genome assembly. Lineage: Eukaryota; Fungi; Ascomycota; Schizosaccharomycetes; Schizosaccharomycetales; Schizosaccharomycetaceae.
UAUGAGUUCAUUCGCGAGUUAAUUUAAGUGCAUUCAUAGUAAUGUAUUACAUUAUUACAAAUAUCUUAAUACAUAUUUAUAAUCAUUCAUAUUGCAAUACGCGGGUCAUAAAGGUCGCAACUGGGGUAUAGUUAUUCUGUUAUACAGGUUAUAUUUUUACCUAUCACUAAUAUAGCGUAUAACUGAUCCUCGUUCUUCAUUUCAAUUGUGCUUCCAUUUGCAUUAU